RNAcentral lists this non-coding RNA (24 nucleotides) under Gossypium hirsutum (cotton). The record is from RNAcentral. Lineage: Eukaryota; Viridiplantae; Streptophyta; Magnoliopsida; Malvales; Malvaceae.
AUCGUCGGUGCAUAAGUCUCGUGC